AUGCACCAUCUCCUGUUUGACUGCUGCAAGCAACUGACGCAUCUAACUCUUCAUCAUUGUGAUACUGGUUCCUUCUCUCUCUUUAAGAUUGAUGCACCAGGCUCAAAACUCCGUAUUCUAGAAAUCGAGAAGUGUCGCUUUCUGAGAAUCGACCUGGUGUGCCUCCCGAAAUUAGAGAAGUUCUUAUGGGAGACCUGGGUAUCUCAGGUUGCCCCAUUGACCUUUGGUUUUGUCCCAUCUCUUGGGGAAUUAGAACUCUCAAGUGGUUCAAAUUGUGAUCAACGCUUAUUUAGAUUAAGUGAACUUCUACAUGGAGUAACAAGCAUACAUACUCUCACAUUGGAUUUCCAAGGAGAAACGCUUUGGGUGCAACCUGAAAUGGAGGAACUUCGCACCGCAUUCAGCAAACUAAGGAAGCUGUUCGUACGUGGUAUAUUUGUUGAAUUUGACAUUUCAUGGACGACAGCCUUUCUUGUAGCAGCACCAUCUAUCGAAAUGUUGCAUAUUGAGGUAUGGGAACAUACAUGCGAUGUGGGCGAGGCCAGACCUGCUUCCUACCAUGACAGAAAGAGUCCUCGAUGGGAAAUGCACUUGGACAGCAGCUCCGAGAACAGGCUUCUAAAAGAGCUAGAAUUUGCUGGAUUUAAAUCACUCGAACAACAGUUUACAUUUAUAAGAUCCAUGUUGGAGCGAUGUCCCAACUUGCAGAAGAUAGUUCUGGGAGAUGAGGAGCAGUGCGAUGACUGCGACACCCUUAAGGUACCUCGUCCUUCGAGAUUUCCAAGGAAGGAAGAUGAGCAAGAAAUGGUGGUUAAGCGGAUUAGAGAUGAAAUGUUCUCGCCAGAGAUAUUUUUUUAUGAGCACAUGACCUGUCUUACAACCAGCACUAUGAACAAUCUGCAAGUAACACAUUCUUCACUGGAAAUAACUAACGAAGCAAGAAGCUGA
RNAcentral lists this ribosomal RNA (948 nucleotides) under Triticum aestivum (bread wheat). Its description in RNAcentral is "partial small subunit ribosomal RNA". Lineage: Eukaryota; Viridiplantae; Streptophyta; Magnoliopsida; Poales; Poaceae. The record is from RNAcentral.